UUUAUAGCUAGUCACUGUCACACAACUUUGGUGUUGCUAUAAUGUGUGAAUAUAUCUACAAUUUUUUUCCAUAGGAUUCCUGAGCCUCUAGUGUGCUGAUGAGAUGGCCUUAUAUCUUUUUUGUUUCUUCUGAUUUAGAUCAAAAGGAUGACUUGCACACAGGGAGAAUAUUUGGGCUGAGAACAUCACAGGACUGGGACCAGGAACAUCAAAAUGUAUGCAUAUACUUUAAGUUGUUCCAGCAAACGAAACCCGCUUUCAUUGAAGUACUGCAGAGCAUGUCUGUGAAGCCAAGGAACGUCCUUGACAGAGGAAG
RNAcentral lists this long non-coding RNA (316 nucleotides) under Apteryx owenii (little spotted kiwi). Its description in RNAcentral is "lncRNA (ENSAOWG00000006363.1)". The record is from RNAcentral. Lineage: Eukaryota; Metazoa; Chordata; Aves; Apterygiformes; Apterygidae.